UACGUAGGGGGCUAGCGUUGUCCGGAAUCAUUGGGCGUAAAGAGCGUGUAGGCGGUCCGGUAAGUCCGCUGUGAAAGUCGGGGGCUCAACCCUCGAAUGCCGGUGGAUACUGUCGGGCUAGAGUCCGGAAGAGGCGAGUGGAAUUCCUGGUGUAGCGGUGGAAUGCGCAGAUAUCAGGAGGAACACCAACAGCGAAGGCAGCUCGCUGGGACGGUACUGACGCUGAGGCGCGAAAGCGUGGGGAGCGAACAGG
Molecule: ribosomal RNA, 253 nt
Filed under: uncultured bacterium
Lineage: Bacteria
Description: partial 16S ribosomal RNA
Rfam family: Bacterial small subunit ribosomal RNA
Source: RNAcentral